RNAcentral lists this ribosomal RNA (440 nucleotides) under uncultured bacterium. Its description in RNAcentral is "partial 16S ribosomal RNA". It matches the Rfam family "Bacterial small subunit ribosomal RNA", at positions 338 to 795 of the family's 1533-position model. The record is from RNAcentral.
CCUACGGGAGGCAGCAGUGGGGAAUAUUGCACAAUGGGGGAAACCCUGAUGCAGCGACGCCGCGUGAGUGAAGAAGUAUUUCGGUAUGUAAAGCUCUAUCAGCAGGGAAGAAAAUGACGGUACCUGAUUAAGAAGCCCCGGCUAACUACGUGCCAGCAGCCGGGGUAAUACGGAGGGGGCAAGCGUUAUCCGGAUUUACUGGGUGUAAAGGGGGCGUAGGCGGCAGCACAAGUCUGGAGUGAAAUGCCGGGGCUUAACCCCGGAACUGCUUUGGAAACUGUGCAGCUAGAGUGCAGGAGAGGUAAGUGGAAUGCCUAGUGUAGCGGUGAAAUGCGUAGAUAUUAGGAGGAACACCAGUGGCGAAGGCAGCUUACUGGACUGUAACUGACGUUGAGGCUCGAAAGCGUGGGGAGCAAACAGGAUUAGAUACCCGUGUAGUC